Molecule: long non-coding RNA, 229 nt
Filed under: Solanum tuberosum (potato)
Lineage: Eukaryota; Viridiplantae; Streptophyta; Magnoliopsida; Solanales; Solanaceae
Description: long non-coding RNA (STUB_LNC001704)
Source: RNAcentral
CUAACAGCUUUUUGUUUUAAUUUGUUUUCAACAGCAGGCAGCCUUUUUUUUUUUUUUUAACUGCAGCGUUUCUUUUUUAACCUACAAGGAACAUUCUCUUUUGCUUUUUUGCUUUUUUUUUUACUUGUUAACUUAUUAUUAUUAAGUAUUAAUCAAUUUUUUUUAAAAAUAAUAAUUAAAAUUAAGUAUUAAUCAAUAAUUAGUUUUUAACUAAUUUAAUUUAACUUUU